AGGACGAACGCUGGCGGCGUGCUUAACACAUGCAAGUCGAGCGGAAAGGCCCUUCGGGGUACUCGAGCGGCGAACGGGUGAGUAACACGUGAGUAACCUGCCCCUAGCUCUGGGAUAGCUCCGGGAAACCGGGAUUAAUACCAGAUACGACCACUUUAGACAUCUGUCGUGGUGGAAAGGAUUCCGGCUAGGGAUGGGCUCGCGGCCUAUCAGCUUGUUGGUGGGGUAACGGCCUACCGAAGGCGACGACGGGUA
Molecule: ribosomal RNA, 255 nt
Filed under: uncultured bacterium
Lineage: Bacteria
Description: partial small subunit ribosomal RNA
Rfam family: Bacterial small subunit ribosomal RNA
Source: RNAcentral